UUUCCCUUAAAUUAAUAAGCUCAUCUUUUUGGCUUGGACAAGUGAAGUUUCUAUUGUUUUGCAGUAAUGGCCACUGCAGUGAAGACAUUGUUGGCUCUGGCUGUGAUUUCAGUGAGCUUUGGUGGGAAAUCGGUUGGAGCAGAGGUGCACCAUUUGGUUGGUGGGGAUCGAGGCUGGGACCCUUCUACAAAUGUGGCUUCUUGGUCCUCCGGCAGAACAUUCAGGGUCGGAGACAAAAUCUGGUUCACAUAUUCCAUUACACAGGGAAUGAUAGCUGAGCUUAAGACGAAAGAGGAAUUCGACUCAUGCGAUGUACGCAAUCCAACCAGAAUGUAUUCGGACGGCCUCGAUGGCAUCUCGCUCAAUGAGGAAGGGAUCCGCUACUUCGUGAGCACAAAUUCGAAGGUCUGUAAGAAUGGCUUGAAGCUUCAUGUGGAGGUGAUGCCUGAACAGACAUCCGAUGUCAAUGAUAUCCCAAAACUUAGCGCAUCUGAGGACGCUGCCUUGGCUGUUGCUGCUGGGCCAACCCCAUCUGAUUCAACCCACGUUGGUGCAGGCGGUGCUAUGUUGCUGUCUGGAAUCUGGCUGUGUUCUUACAUCAUGGGUAUUUAGGUUUGAAGUUAAAUUGUUAUGAAAACUAUUAUGUUUAAUUUAAUAGCUGUUUGUGAGAACCCAAAUUUAGUGAGGGUUUUGUAGUUUUAAUUGUCCAAUGAUUUCUACAUUGAAUGUUUCCUUCUUAAUAUGUUUUUUUUUUUU
This 756-nucleotide unclassified non-coding RNA is filed under the name Hevea brasiliensis (rubber tree). Lineage: Eukaryota; Viridiplantae; Streptophyta; Magnoliopsida; Malpighiales; Euphorbiaceae. The record is from RNAcentral.